Molecule: long non-coding RNA, 904 nt
Organism: Zophobas morio
Lineage: Eukaryota; Metazoa; Arthropoda; Insecta; Coleoptera; Tenebrionidae
Exons: 3
Source: RefSeq, a predicted model, not a curated record
UAUUUUCUCCCGCAUCUCCAGCGCCUUUGAGCACUCUGGAAGUGUACAACGAUUUAAUUCUUAAUUUAACUUUUUUAGAAUAUGAUAAUACAAAGUCUUUACGUUUGGUUGUUAUAACUGAAAAGGAGCGAAAUAUAUAUUUGGUCACAAUAAAAAGUUCUCCAGAAGAUUCGGUAGUGAAUACAGAAUUUCCCAAGUCAGUGUUGCAAAACUCCAUUAAUUUAGUUGAUAGUAAUAAUCUGGAUUUUCUUCUUUGUGGCAAUAACAGUAACAACAAUAAUUAUGAUGAUAAUAAUACUAACCACACCAAAAAAAAAUCGUGGACUGGCGUAUUCAACGCGCCAUCUCACUUGUUGCCGCCCAUUCGCCAACUUUUUCCACAUUUUGUUUCUAAUCUUCUUCAGUGUACUAAAGACUCUACUAAGAGCCAGUCGAUCCAAGAUUUCUCGAAUUUUCAAAUGCCGACCGCUCCCACUUGGGUUCCUACUAAGGCUGUUCUAGAUGAAGUUACAAAUCAUAACUUAAGUUUAAGGGCCCCAAUUGAUUUCAAUUUUUUGGCUAACGUUUUUGCUCAAAUAGAGCUCAAACCAAAGGACGCUGAAAGUAAUUUAAGAGGUUAUAAAUAUAAAUUACUUGCAGAUAAACAUCCCUCCAAAGAGGAAAUUAUUUAUAAACAUACGAAUGGAAUUGUAAAAAUUAACGAUAAAGUCGAAACGCCCUCUGUUACUCAAAAGGAAAUAUUUAAAAGGAAAGUAAAAAAGAGUUCAAAACUAAAUUCUUAUAAAAAUACAAAUCAAGAAUUAACUUUGAACGGAAUCACUGCAGUGGACUCGGCGGGAAAAAGAGCAGCCACUGUCCCAACAACAAAGUUAAUAGCAAAAACAAGAAAAAUAGUCAAAGAUAA